Molecule: long non-coding RNA, 882 nt
Filed under: Sorghum bicolor (sorghum)
Lineage: Eukaryota; Viridiplantae; Streptophyta; Magnoliopsida; Poales; Poaceae
Description: long non-coding RNA (SBIC_LNC015228)
Source: RNAcentral
GCCGGUUCAGGAUCGCGGCAUGCCCUAUAAGUUGCGGCGGCGAGAUCGAUCAACGGGUGCUCGUGCCCUGAUGGUGCGUCACCGACCAUGAUGCUCACAGAGGCGGGAGAGCACCUCGCGGCGCUGCGGAGGCACGACGUUGGGUGCCACAUCCGGACCCUUGGCGCCGUCGACUUAACCCUCGGCGGCGUCGGGCGGUUUAUUUCUUUUUUUUUUCUGCGAUCGGCGGCGGCGGGUGGCGGGCGAUGGUCGGACAGCGCGCUGUGAGGACGGGCGGCGCAGCACCGGGGCGGGCAGCGGCGGUCGUGCUCGCGGCGGGCGACGGAGCCGCACGCGUGGUGGAGAUUUUCUGCGAUACGGAGUUUUCACGGAGAGUAGAGAUGACGCGAGGCUGAGGGUGUGUAAGGUCGUGAUCAUACUUCUAAUCUGGGCCGUCUAAUCUAUAGGAUAUGUGCUGUGAGUCGUUGAUCUUGUAGGUGGGAUUUGCCUGGAGAAGAUUUCAAUUAUAGUAGAGAUUUGUGAAAAAUGUGAGAAACGGAGGUAGGAGUGUGUGUGGUUUACUGUCCUGCUGGGCUGUGGGUUGUGGCCAGCCAGCCGAGGCUGGGCCUGGGCCCAGAUCUGACUGUGGUUUCUGGUUUGAGUGGCAAUUUUUACAAGAAAAAGUUGUAAUAAAAGUCAAAAGAUUCUUCCCUCCAUUUUGCGUGCGUGGUGACCCACCAUAGCGCUGCCCAACUUCCGCUCUCCAUCGUUGAGACACAAAGAGGCUAACUGAGAUCACAACAAAGUGAGAAAGGAAGUCUUAAGCGCUUUGCUCCUUGGUUUUGUUCCAAAAAGAUCUUUACUUGGCCACCACUGAGUAAACAAUCAUGUUGAGUCCUUAUA